RNAcentral lists this non-coding RNA (118 nucleotides) under Mucor circinelloides. RNAcentral describes it as "TPP sequence". It matches the Rfam family "TPP riboswitch aptamer (THI element)". From Rfam's summary of the family: Vitamin B(1) in its active form thiamin pyrophosphate (TPP) is an essential coenzyme that is synthesised by coupling of pyrimidine and thiazole moieties in bacteria. The previously detected thiamin-regulatory element, thi box was extended, resulting in a new, highly conserved RNA secondary structure, the THI element, which is widely distributed in eubacteria and also occurs in some archaea. Lineage: Eukaryota; Fungi; Mucoromycota; Mucoromycetes; Mucorales; Mucoraceae. The record is from RNAcentral. RNAcentral also lists the same sequence under 1 other name.
AUAAUGCGCUGGGGGAGCCUGAACUUGCAUUUGCAUUUUCUUAAUAUGGCUGAGAACUUUAAACUCUUAAACACCUGAUCAGGUUAAUACCUGCGAAGGGAAGCGUUUCUGUUUAAAA